UGGAAGCUGGUGGUUCAGGAAAUAGUUAAGUUUCGAAAAGCUUACCCAGCUUUUAUGAAUAUCAGGCCAUUGAGAUAUAGUGUUGUAUUGGACCUUCAUCCAGAUUGCCUGCCACAAGUUGUUGAAGCAAAGAGAAAGCUAAGAUUACGAGAUGCACUGCUCUGCAGCUACCAUCCCAAUGAGGUUAAGUAUUCAGAAUUGACUCUUGAUACUUUCCGGAUGCUACAAUGUCUGGAAUGGGAACCUAGUGGGUCAUUUUAUCAGACAGGCAGGGUUCCUCCAAGUGGGGUUGGAACUGGUAUUGGCCAGAAUGGAGCUCCAGGGCCCAGUCGUGUUAAUUAUUCACAAGAUAUAUCUGAUCCUACUCUACCUCCUAAUCCUCGCAAGUCCAUCUUAUAUCGUCCAUCUGUUACAAAUUAUUUAGCGGUCUUGGCCACAAACUGUGAGGAGCUACCUCAUGAUGGAGUUCUUUUACUAUAUUUGUCUGCUGCAGGCAGCUCUCAGAACUCUUUUUCUUCUCCAUCCCACGGUGCAGGGAGGAGCUUUAUGUCUCGUGUUGGCGACUCAGAAGCCUCCUCUACAUCUUCACUGAACGUUGAAUUUGAAAUCGCAAAUCCCAUUUCUGCCAAGGGGAAUUGCUUGAGUGAGCAGAGUAGUUGCUUAUACAUUGGUUCUCGUUCCAGUAGAGGUCUGAAUGGGAUUUAUCCAUGUGACUUGUUGCCAUUCACUAGAAGACCACUCUUUUUGGUCAUUGACAGUGAUAUCAGUAAAUCAUUCACGGCAUUAAGUGGAUCAGAGAAGGGAGAAUCAGUUAUCAUGCUACUCUCUCCUGCUAUGUCACUGCCUAUACCUACUGUGGACUCUUCACGACAGCUGAGUGGAAGCUCAUUCACAAGUUUUCUUACAGUUCCUUUACAGGCUUUCGUUUUGAUGCUUGGUUUCACGGGUUCUGACAUUGACAUGGAUAUGUAUGAUAAGGCUGACAAACUUCUUUCUUCAUCAUUAAAUGAGUGGGGUUUGUUAUUAGCAGCAUCAGAUAAUCUUGAUCCUGUUUGGGCUCAAACUCUUGGAGAUCCAUUUUUACGGCGGCUUAUUUUAAGAUUCAUUUUCUGUCGGACAGUGCUGGCGCUGUAUGCUCCAACCUUCAACAAGACAGAAUUUCUCCCUGAAUGCAUCCCUUCCCUUCCAGAUGCUUUCCUGCCAACUAGUGACACAUGUCAAAGGAUAGUAUUGCAACUUGCUGACAUCUUUGGUGCAACCAGCAAGUUCAAUUUUUCAGAAGAGACGCCGAUGCUUUCUGAUAGCAGAUGCCAGGAGAAUUGAACUUGGCAACUAAUUUUUAUUUUAUUGGGUCAAUUCUGGUAGCUUUGUAAAUUGAUUUGAAAAUGAGGAGGCUUCUUUGGUUUGUCCCUUCUCUAAUGUUUGUCUGUGGGGUUCUGUAGGUUGAUAUAUAUACUUGUCCAGUUAGUCAUAUGUGAUGCUUGUGAAGUCUGAACAAUGGUUCCUCCAACAUUCCCAGUUUGAUUGAUAUCCCAAAUGUUUUCAACGCGAGCUGCGAUCAUGCUACAAUCUGUAUUGGCUAAACUCUCUUCUAUACAUCUUUCUAUAGUUUCUUUUUCGCUCAAAUGUUUCAUAUGUUCAUGUGGAAAUCAGGUAAAGAAGGAUUUAGUUCUUCUUGGAGGUGUAUUUAAGAAGUCAGCUGUGAGGGUGUUUGGUUAAUUGUUUGUA
This 1728-nucleotide unclassified non-coding RNA is filed under the name Hevea brasiliensis (rubber tree). Lineage: Eukaryota; Viridiplantae; Streptophyta; Magnoliopsida; Malpighiales; Euphorbiaceae. The record is from RNAcentral.